This 521-nucleotide ribosomal RNA is filed under the name uncultured Bacillota bacterium. RNAcentral describes it as "bacterial SSU rRNA". It matches the Rfam family "Bacterial small subunit ribosomal RNA", at positions 8 to 522 of the family's 1533-position model. Lineage: Bacteria; Bacillati; Bacillota. The record is from RNAcentral.
AGAGUUUGAUCCUGGCUCAGGACGAACGCUGGCGGCGUGCUUAAUACAUGCAAGUCGAGCGAGGUUACUGGAGAGGAGCCCUUCGGGAUGAAGCUGCUUUAACCUAGCGGCGGACGGGUGAGUAACGCGUGGGUAACCUACCCCAAAGUCCGGGAUAACAGCGGGAAACCGCUGCUAAUACCGGAUGCCUUUACCUUGGGGCAUCUUGAGGUAAAGAAAGGCAACGCUUUGGGAUGGGCCCGCGUCCCAUUAGCUAGUUGGUGAGGUAACGGCUCACCAAGGCGACGAUGGGUAGCCGGCCUGAGAGGGUGGACGGCCACACUGGGACUGAGACACGGCCCAGACUCCCACGGGAGGCAGCAGUAGGGAAUAUUGCGCAAUGGACGGAAGUCUGACGCAGCGACGCCGCGUGAGCGAUGAAGGCCUUCGGGUCGUAAAGCUCUGUCCUUGGGGAAGAAGGCGAAAGCUUGACGGUACCCAAGAAGAAAGCCCCGGCUAACUACGUGCCAGCAGCCGCGGUA